GAGGAACUGUCACAGUUUGUACUACUAAAAAAAUCUUUAUUUGCACCCUCUUUUGCCAUCAGAUAAGCUACUUUAUUCUCUCUGUAAUUGUGCUUCACCGCCAAGUCUCAUAAUCUUAGGAUGAUUGACCUACAUUCAAAAUAAUUGAGUCAAAGGUAUGAUUACCAAAAUUAAGCAUUCUUGUUACCUCAGUCGAAUCUGCGUUGAUCUCAAGUGGUAUGAAUCCUCU
RNAcentral lists this long non-coding RNA (229 nucleotides) under Nicotiana benthamiana. RNAcentral describes it as "long non-coding RNA (NBEN_LNC027088)". The record is from RNAcentral. Lineage: Eukaryota; Viridiplantae; Streptophyta; Magnoliopsida; Solanales; Solanaceae.